GACGAACGCUGGCGGCGUGCUUAACACAUGCAAGUCGAACGGAAAGGCCCUGCUUUUGUGGGGUGCUCGAGUGGCGAACGGGUGAGUAACACGUGAGUAACCUGCCCUUGACUUUGGGAUAACUUCGGGAAACUGGGGCUAAUACCGGAUAGGAGCUCCUGCUGCAUGGUGGGGGUUGGAAAGUUUCGGCGGUUGGGGAUGGACUCGCGGCUUAUCAGCUUGUUGGUGGGGUAGUGGCUUACCAAGGCUUUGACGGGUAGCCGGCCUGAGAGGGUGACCGGCCACAUUGGGACUGAGAUACGGCCCAGACUCCUACGGGAGGCAGCAGUGGGGAAUAUUGCACAAUGGGCGGGAGCCUGAUGCAGCAACGCCGCGUGCGGGAUGACGGCCUUCGGGUUGUAAACCGCUUUCGCCUGUGACGAAGCGUGAGUGACGGUAAUGGGUAAAGAAGCACCGGCUAACUACGUG
This 468-nucleotide ribosomal RNA is filed under the name uncultured bacterium. Its description in RNAcentral is "partial 16S ribosomal RNA". It matches the Rfam family "Bacterial small subunit ribosomal RNA", at positions 28 to 507 of the family's 1533-position model. The record is from RNAcentral.